CAAAAUGAGAGUUUGAUCCUGGCUCAGGACGAACGCUGGCGGCGUGCCUAAUACAUGCAAGUCGAGCGAGCUGAAUUCAAAGAUCCCUUCGGGGUGAUUUGUUGGACGCGAGCGGCGGAUGGGUGAGUAACACGUGGGCAACCUGCCCCAAAGACUGGGAUACCACUUGGAAACAGGUGCUAAUACCGGAUAACAACAGAAGCUGCAUGGCUUUUGUUUGAAAGGCGGCUUUAAGCUGUCACUUUAGGAUGGGCCCGCGGUGCAUUAGCUAGUUGGUGGGGUAACGGCCCACCAAGGCAAUGAUGCAUAGCCGAGUUGAGAGACUGAUCGGCCACAUUGGGACUGAGACACGGCCCAAACUCCUACGGGAGGCAGCAGUAGGGAAUCUUCCACAAUGGACGCAAGUCUGAUGGAGCA
RNAcentral lists this ribosomal RNA (417 nucleotides) under Lactobacillus porci. RNAcentral describes it as "bacterial SSU rRNA". It matches the Rfam family "Bacterial small subunit ribosomal RNA", at positions 1 to 393 of the family's 1533-position model. Lineage: Bacteria; Bacillati; Bacillota; Bacilli; Lactobacillales; Lactobacillaceae. The record is from RNAcentral.